Molecule: non-coding RNA, 296 nt
Filed under: Phascolarctos cinereus (koala)
Lineage: Eukaryota; Metazoa; Chordata; Mammalia; Diprotodontia; Phascolarctidae
Source: RNAcentral
GCUGGGUAUGGUGGUGUAUGCCUGUAUCCUGGCUACCUGGAAGGAUAAGGCUGGCAGAUCUUUGGAAAUUAGAAGUUAUGAGAUGCAGUACAGUAAGGAACCAAUUUUCAUACUAAGUCUAUCAUCAAUAUGGUGAGGCCUCGCAGGAGCAAAGACUACCAGGUUGCCUAAGAAGGUAUGAACCAGCCCAGAGCAGGAACAAAUAAAGUCAAAACUCCCAUGCUGAUCAAUAGUGGGAUUGGGCUCCUGAGUACCCUGUACUUCAAGCCUGGGCCAGAUAGUGACAGCCAGUGUUA